RNAcentral lists this ribosomal RNA (305 nucleotides) under Castalia ambigua. RNAcentral's name for it is "partial 16S ribosomal RNA". It matches the Rfam family "Bacterial large subunit ribosomal RNA", at positions 1953 to 2496 of the family's 2925-position model. Lineage: Eukaryota; Metazoa; Mollusca; Bivalvia; Unionida; Hyriidae. The record is from RNAcentral.
CUGGUAGCGUAAUAACCAGCCUUCUAAUUAGAGGCCAGUGAAAGGCAACACAUGGGACCACCUAUAUCUAAUGUGCCAAAAGAAUUUUACCUUUGAGUGAAAAGGCUCAACUAAUCAAAAAAGACGAAAAGACCCCGCGGAGCUUUACUCAAAAGUUACAGACCAUAUAAACUCAACACCAAAAGUUUGGUUGGGGCAACCUUGGAACAAAUAAUCUUCCAAUUCUAUCUCUCUGCAAUAAAAUACAAAACCUUUACGGACUAAAAAGAAGCUACCCCGGGGAUAACAGCGUAAUCCAACUAAAA